RNAcentral lists this transfer RNA (83 nucleotides) under Schizocladia ischiensis. RNAcentral's name for it is "tRNA-Ser". It matches the Rfam family "tRNA". From Rfam's summary of the family: Transfer RNA (tRNA) molecules are approximately 80 nucleotides in length. Their secondary structure includes four short double-helical elements and three loops (D, anti-codon, and T loops). The record is from RNAcentral. Lineage: Eukaryota; Schizocladiophyceae; Schizocladiales; Schizocladiaceae.
GGAUAAGUGACCGAGAGGUUUAUGGUGUCAGUUUUGAAAACUGAAGUGCGAGAGUACCGUGGGUUCGAAUCCCACCUUAUCCU